CAAAUUAGAGCUUGUAAAGUUAAGUGUUUUAUUUACAUUAAAAAGUAGAUCGUGCAAUUCGAUUUAAUUUGA
RNAcentral lists this transfer RNA (72 nucleotides) under Metrius contractus. RNAcentral describes it as "tRNA-Val". Lineage: Eukaryota; Metazoa; Arthropoda; Insecta; Coleoptera; Carabidae. The record is from RNAcentral.